RNAcentral lists this transfer RNA (74 nucleotides) under Buchnera aphidicola str. APS (Acyrthosiphon pisum). RNAcentral's name for it is "tRNA-Pseudo (GCA)". It matches the Rfam family "tRNA". Rfam says of the family: Transfer RNA (tRNA) molecules are approximately 80 nucleotides in length. Their secondary structure includes four short double-helical elements and three loops (D, anti-codon, and T loops). The record is from RNAcentral. Lineage: Bacteria; Pseudomonadati; Pseudomonadota; Gammaproteobacteria; Enterobacterales; Erwiniaceae. RNAcentral also lists the same sequence under 2 other names.
GUGUUGACAGAUUGGAUAUGUAGCGGACUGCAAAUCCGUGCAACCCGGUUCGAUUCCGGGAUACGCCUCUAUAA